RNAcentral lists this long non-coding RNA (1254 nucleotides) under Chrysemys picta bellii (western painted turtle). RNAcentral describes it as "lncRNA (ENSCPBG00000022133.1)". Lineage: Eukaryota; Metazoa; Chordata; Testudines; Emydidae. The record is from RNAcentral.
AUGAUAGACCUCUUUGCAACCUCACAAAACUCCAAAUGCCCCCAAUUCUGUUCCCGGGCAGGACUCGGACAUCACUCUCUGGGCGAUGCCUUCCACAUCAAGUGGAUCACCCCCUACUCUCUGCCUUCCUCUCCCCCCCAUUCCCCUCAGACCCAGAGUACUCAGCAAGAUAAUACAGGACGGGGCCAGAGUGAUCCUAAUAGCACCCACAUGGACAUGACAAACCUGGUAUCCAUACCUUCUCCACAUGGCAGUCUGUCCACUGUGCAAGCUCCCAUCUCUGCCUCAACUCCUAUCGCAGGAUGCAGGACGCAUUAUCCAUCCGGAUCCCCACAAACUUCAACUCAAAGCAUGGUUACUCCGUGGCUCUCAGGAUCUGAAACGACAUGUUCCACAGAAGUACAGAGCAUAUUGUUAAACAGCCAUAGGGAAACUACCUGGCACACAUACAUUCAUAAGUGGAAACGCUUCAAAUCAUGGUGCCAAUGGAAACAAACUGCACCUGUGUUGGCCUCUUUACCCCUUAUUCUAGACUACCUACUGGAAAUCAAACUAACUGGACUUUCCAUACCCUCAAUCCGUGUCCACCUGUCAGCCAUUACGGUUUUUCAUCUUAAAAUCAAUGGAUUCUUGAUUUUCACGCAUCCCAUCACAAAACGCUUUUUAAAGGGCCUCUCAAAUUCCUAUCUAGAUGAGCAAAAACCAGUUCCACCAUGGGACUUCAAUUCGGUCCUCCACCUCCUCACCGGGCCCCUUUUUGAGCCCUUAGCCACAAGCUCCAUAUCACACCUUUCUGUGAAGAUUGUAUUUCUUGUGGCCAUUACAUCGGCCAGACAUAUGGGAGAACUAGCAGCUCUCAUGGCUGACCCACCCUAUACCAUCCUUUUUAAAGAUAAAGUGUGUCUCGGAUCACACCCUAAAUUUUUACCUAAAGUGGUAUCAUCCUUUCACCUCAACCAAAUGAUAUACUUACCCACAUUCUUCCCAAAGCCACAUAUGGACAGUAAACAAUCCAGACUACACACUUUGGACAUCUGUCAGGCUCUCGCCUUUUAUAUCAACAGAAUGAAACCAUUUUGCAAGUCUCCAAAACUAUUUCUUUCCAUCACUGAUCAAUCCAAAGGACAUGCCAUUUCUAAACAAUGCCUGUCCAAAUGGAUAUCAGACUGUAUCAAACUUUGCUAUCUCCAGUACGAACGACAACCCUUACGGGGAUCUGCACACAUUCUACUAGGAGUCUCUCAACAUCAAUAG